ACUCCUACGGGAGGCAGCAGUGAGGAAUAUUGGACAAUGGAUGGAAAUCUGAUCCAGCCAUGCCGCGUGCAGGAAGACGGCCCUAUGGGUUGUAAACUGCUUUUGUAUGGGAGCAAUAAGGUCUAUGCGUAGACUGAUGAGAGUACCAUACGAAUAAGCAUCGGCUAACUCCGUGCCAGCAGCCGCGGUAAUACGGGGGAUGCAAGCGUUAUCCGGAUUUAUUGGGUUUAAAGGGUGCGUAGGCGGUUUGAUAAGUCAGCGGUGAAAUAUUUCAGCUUAACUGAAAGGGUGCCGUUGAUACUGUCAGGCUUGAAUAUGGUUGCUGUGGGUGGAAUGUGUGGUGUAGCGGUGAAAUGCUUAGAUAUCACACAGAAUAUCGAUUGCGAAGGCAGCUCACAAAGCCAUUAUUGACGCUGAUGCACGAAAGUGUGGGGAUCAAACAGGAUUAGAUACCCUGGUAGUCCACACUGUAAACGAUGAUAACUCGCUGUCGGCGAUACACAGUCGGUAGCCAAGCGAAAGCGAUAAGUUAUCCACCUGGGGAGUACGACCGCAAGGUUGAAACUCAAAGGAAUUGACGGA
This 582-nucleotide ribosomal RNA is filed under the name uncultured bacterium. Its description in RNAcentral is "bacterial SSU rRNA". It matches the Rfam family "Bacterial small subunit ribosomal RNA", at positions 335 to 917 of the family's 1533-position model. The record is from RNAcentral.